UACAGAGGGUGCGAGCGUUGUCCGGAAUCACUGGGCGUAAAGGGCGCGUAGGUGGCCUGGUAAGUAGGGGGUGAAAUCUCGAGGCUCAACUUCGAGGCUGCCUCCUAAACUGUCGGGCUUGAGCAGAGUAGAGGCAGGUGGAAUUCCCGGUGUAGCGGUGGAAUGCGUAGAGAUCGGGAAGAACAUCGGUGGCGAAGGCGGCCUGCUGGGCUCUUGCUGACACUGAGGCGCGACAGCGUGGGGAGCAAACAGG
RNAcentral lists this ribosomal RNA (253 nucleotides) under uncultured bacterium. RNAcentral describes it as "partial 16S ribosomal RNA". It matches the Rfam family "Bacterial small subunit ribosomal RNA", at positions 524 to 776 of the family's 1533-position model. The record is from RNAcentral.